GGGCCGGUAAGCUCAGUCAGUUGAGCGUAGCGCUAACAACGCUAAGGUCACUGGUUUGAUUCCCGUUCGGUCCC
Molecule: transfer RNA, 74 nt
Organism: Apaloderma vittatum (bar-tailed trogon)
Lineage: Eukaryota; Metazoa; Chordata; Aves; Trogoniformes; Trogonidae
Rfam family: tRNA
About the family: Transfer RNA (tRNA) molecules are approximately 80 nucleotides in length. Their secondary structure includes four short double-helical elements and three loops (D, anti-codon, and T loops).
Source: Rfam